RNAcentral lists this ribosomal RNA (1436 nucleotides) under Halomonas sp. X45. RNAcentral describes it as "bacterial SSU rRNA". It matches the Rfam family "Bacterial small subunit ribosomal RNA". The record is from RNAcentral. Lineage: Bacteria; Pseudomonadati; Pseudomonadota; Gammaproteobacteria; Oceanospirillales; Halomonadaceae.
GCACUUGCGCGGCUACCAUGCAGUCGAGCGGAACGAUGGAAGCUUGCUUCCAGGCGUCGAGCGGCGGACGGGUGAGUAAUGCAUAGGAAUCUGCCCGAUAGUGGGGGAUAACCUGGGGAAACCCAGGCUAAUACCGCAUACGUCCUACGGGAGAAAGCAGGGGAUCUUCGGACCUUGCGCUAUCGGAUGAGCCUAUGUCGGAUUAGCUAGUUGGUGAGGUAACGGCUCACCAAGGCCGCGAUCCGUAGCUGGUCUGAGAGGAUGAUCAGCCACAUCGGGACUGAGACACGGCCCGAACUCCUACGGGAGGCAGCAGUGGGGAAUAUUGGACAAUGGGCGAAAGCCUGAUCCAGCCAUGCCGCGUGUGUGAAGAAGGCUUUCGGGUUGUAAAGCACUUUCAGUGGGGAAGAAAUCCUCGGGGCCAAUACCCUCGAGGGAGGACAUCACCCACAGAAGAAGCACCGGCUAACUCCGUGCCAGCAGCCGCGGUAAUACGGAGGGUGCGAGCGUUAAUCGGAAUUACUGGGCGUAAAGCGCGCGUAGGCGGCGUGAUAAGCCGGUUGUGAAAGCCCCGGGCUCAACCUGGGAACGGCAUCCGGAACUGUCAGGCUAGAGUGCAGGAGAGGAAGGUAGAAUUCCCGGUGUAGCGGUGAAAUGCGUAGAGAUCGGGAGGAAUACCAGUGGCGAAGGCGGCCUUCUGGACUGACACUGACGCUGAGGUGCGAAAGCGUGGGUAGCAAACAGGAUUAGAUACCCUGGUAGUCCACGCCGUAAACGAUGUCGACUAGCCGUUGGGGUCCUUGUGACCUUUGUGGCGCAGUUAACGCGAUAAGUCGACCGCCUGGGGAGUACGGCCGCAAGGUUAAAACUCAAAUGAAUUGACGGGGGCCCGCACAAGCGGUGGAGCAUGUGGUUUAAUUCGAUGCAACGCGAAGAACCUUACCUACUCUUGACAUCGUGCGAACUUUCCAGAGAUGGAUUGGUGCCUUCGGGAACGCACAGACAGGUGCUGCAUGGCCGUCGUCAGCUCGUGUUGUGAAAUGUUGGGUUAAGUCCCGUAACGAGCGCAACCCUUGUCCCUAUUUGCCAGCGAUUCGGUCGGGAACUCUAGGGAGACUGCCGGUGACAAACCGGAGGAAGGUGGGGACGACGUCAGGUCAUCAUGGCCCUUACGAGUAGGGCUACACACGUGCUACAAUGGCCGGUACAAAGGGUUGCGAAGCCGCGAGGUGGAGCUAAUCCCGAAAAGCCGGUCUCAGUCCGGAUCGGAGUCUGCAACUCGACUCCGUGAAGUCGGAAUCGCUAGUAAUCGUGAAUCAGAAUGUCACGGUGAAUACGUUCCCGGGCCUUGUACACACCGCCCGUCACACCAUGGGAGUGGACUGCACCAGAAGUGGUUAGCCUAACUUCGGAGGGCGAUCACCACGGUGUAAAGA